This 779-nucleotide ribosomal RNA is filed under the name uncultured Neocallimastigales. RNAcentral describes it as "partial large subunit ribosomal RNA". It matches the Rfam family "Eukaryotic large subunit ribosomal RNA", at positions 24 to 616 of the family's 3401-position model. Lineage: Eukaryota; Fungi; Neocallimastigomycota; Neocallimastigomycetes; Neocallimastigales. The record is from RNAcentral.
UUACGACUACAUAUCAGGCAUAUCAAUAAGCGGAGGAAAAGAAACUAACUAGGAUUCCCUUAGUAACGGCGAGUGAAGCGGGAAGAGCUCAAAUUUGAAAUCUUCAAGGUUCUACCUUGACGAAUUGUAGUUUAAAGAAGUGUUUUCUGUUGGAGUUUUGGUAAAAGUUCUUUGGAAUAGGACAUCAUAGAGGGUGAGAAUCCCGUAUUUGACCAUUAUUUUCAGCUGUGUGAUACACUUUCAAAGAGUCGGAUUGUUUGGGAAUGCAGUCCAAAAUGGGUGGUAAAUUUCAUCUAAAGCUAAAUAUUGGCGAGAGACCGAUAGCGAACAAGUACCGUGAGGGAAAGAUGAAAAGAACUUUGAAAAGAGAGUUAAACAGUACGUGAAAUUGUCAAAAGGGAAGCGUUUGACACCAGUGUUGUUUUCUCGAAAAUCAAUUAAAAAAGGCUAGGAUUUUGUGUUGUAUUGACCUUUAAUCAGCUUGCUUCACUCUUUUCAUUGUCUUUUUUUAAUGCACUUUUCGUUUAACAAGUCAACAUCAGUUUCUUUUGUUGUAAAAGGGUCAUUGGAAGGUGGCUUUCUUUCGGAGAAAGUGUUUAUAGCCUUUGGCCUCUGCAAUCGGAGAGAUUGAGGUCUGCAGCGUAGAUCCUUCGGGGUUAGAUACAUUUGUGCUAAGCUACAGCUUUUCAUAGACAACUUGUUGACUAUGUUUAGUCUUGUAACUUACCCGCUUAUGCUAUUUUACCUACGCUUAGGAUGUUGAGCGCAUGUCUCUCUCU